This 253-nucleotide ribosomal RNA is filed under the name uncultured bacterium. RNAcentral's name for it is "partial 16S ribosomal RNA". It matches the Rfam family "Bacterial small subunit ribosomal RNA", at positions 524 to 776 of the family's 1533-position model. The record is from RNAcentral.
UACGUAGGGGGCAAGCGUUGUCCGGAAUCAUUGGGCGUAAAGAGCGUGUAGGCGGCCCGGUAAGUCCGCUGUGAAAGUCCAGGGCUCAACCCUGGGAUGCCGGUGGAUACUGUCGGGCUCGAGUCCGGAAGAGGAGUGUGGAAUUCCUGGUGUAGCGGUGAAAUGCGCAGAUAUCAGGAGGAACACCAAUUGCGAAGGCAGCUCGCUGGGACGUUACUGACGCUGAGACGCGAAAGCGUGGGGAGCAAACGGG